Blastocystis sp. is the source of this 82-nucleotide non-coding RNA. NCBI's taxonomy places the organism in Eukaryota, Bigyra, Opalinata, Blastocystidae. The record is from Rfam.
GCACGGAUGCCCGAGUGGUCCAAGGGGUUACGUUAAGGCCGUAAUGUGUUCGCACUCGAGGGUUCGAGUCCCUCUUCGUGCA